Talpa occidentalis (Iberian mole) is the source of this 596-nucleotide long non-coding RNA. RefSeq lists it as uncharacterized. The record is from RefSeq and is a predicted model, not a curated record. Lineage: Eukaryota; Metazoa; Chordata; Mammalia; Eulipotyphla; Talpidae. The transcript has 3 exons.
AGACUAAAUGAGCACGAGCAGGUGGCAGUUUUGUUCGACAACUCAUGCUAUGCUUCUGUGUCUACUGCUGCUGUGAGGUGGACAUGCAAGGGUGGCCGGCCAGGCACAGACCAAGGCGUGAGGGAAUAUGGAGCAAAAGGCUCCGUCUUUGAACUGGGGCAGUCCACAGAGAACACAGAAAUGCAGUUAUAUGUAGGGCUCAUGUAUGGCUCGCAGUGGAUCUUUGAUAGUAAAUUACCAGAAGACCUAAUAAGUCCAGGUCUUUUCUGUUUACAUCAACAAGGCUUCAGGAGAACUACGCACAGCUGCUUCCUUCAGCAAGUCAGGAGGAGACAUUGCGAUCCUUCCCUCAGUGGUGAGCGCAGACCCCUCGUAGAGGCGCUGAGGGACGAAGGCUUUCUGUGGCACCUCCAUGUCUUCAUCUGUGACACAUGGGGGGCAAAGUAUGGGGAUUCUCCACUUCUAAAUCAAAUAUUUUUCAUCAAAUCAGAGGCCAUGGCUGCAGUAUUGAUAUAUUCGCCAGGAGAAGCAGAAGCAGGAGAGAAGUGGAGACGGAACGCCAGAGAGCCCAGAGUGAAGACUUGCUGGGGGCUUGG